RNAcentral lists this ribosomal RNA (1449 nucleotides) under uncultured bacterium. Its description in RNAcentral is "bacterial SSU rRNA". It matches the Rfam family "Bacterial small subunit ribosomal RNA". The record is from RNAcentral.
AGGGUUUGAUCAUGGCUCAGGAUGAACGCUGGCGGCGUGCUUAACACAUGCAAGUCGAACGAACCUUCGGGUUAGUGGCGGACGGGUGAGUAACGCGUGAGAAUCUGCCCUCAGGAGGGGGAUAACGGUUGGAAACGACCGCUAAUACCCCAUAUGCCUAUUGGUGAAAUGAAUUUCGCCUGAGGAUGAGCUCGCGUCUGAUUAGCUAGUUGGUGAGGUAAUGGCUCACCAAGGCUUCGAUCAGUAGCUGGUCUGAGAGGAUGAUCAGCCACACUGGGACUGAGACACGGCCCAGACUCCUACGGGAGGCAGCAGUGGGGAAUUUUCCGCAAUGGGCGAAAGCCUGACGGAGCAACGCCGCGUGAGGGACGAAGGCCUCUGGGCUGUAAACCUCUUUUCUCAAGGAAGAAGAUAUGACGGUACUUGAGGAAUAAGCCACGGCUAAUUCCGUGCCAGCAGCCGCGGUAAUACGGGAGUGGCAAGCGUUAUCCGGAAUUAUUGGGCGUAAAGCGUCCGCAGGCGGCUUUUCAAGUCUGCUGUUAAAACGUGGAGCUUAACUCCAUCAUGGCAGUGGAAACUGAAAGGCUUGAGUAUGGUAGGGGCAGAGGGAAUUCCCGGUGUAGCGGUGAAAUGCGUAGAUAUCGGGAAGAACACCAGUGGCGAAGGCGCUCUGCUGGGCCAUUACUGACGCUCAUGGACGAAAGCCAGGGGAGCGAAAGGGAUUAGAUACCCCUGUAGUCCUGGCCGUAAACGAUGAACACUAGGUGUCGGGGGAAUCGACCCCUUCGGUGUCGUAGCUAACGCGUUAAGUGUUCCGCCUGGGGAGUACGCACGCAAGUGUGAAACUCAAAGGAAUUGACAGGGGCCCGCACAAGCGGUGGAGUAUGUGGUUUAAUUCGAUGCAACGCGAGACCUUACCAGGGUUUGACAUCCUGCGAACCUCUUAGAAAUUUGAGGUGGUGCCUUCGGGAAUGCAGUGACAGGUGGUGCAUGGCUGUCGUCAGCUCGUGUCGUGAGAUGUUGGGUUAAGUCCCGCAACGAGCGCAACCCACGUUUUUAGUUGCCAGCAUUUAGUUGGGCACUCUAGAAAGACCGCCGGUGAUAAACCGGAGGAAGGUGUGGAUGACGUCAAGUCAUCAUGCCCCUUACACCCUGGGCUACACACGUACUACAAUGCUACGGACAAAGGGCAGCAAACUCGCGAGAGCUAGCAAAUCCCAUAAACCGUGGCUCAGUUCAGAUCGUAGGCUGCAACUCGCCUACGUGAAGUAGGAAUCGCUAGUAAUCGCAGGUCAGCAUACUGCGGUGAAUACGUUCCCGGGCCUUGUACACACCGCCCGUCACACCAUGGAAGUUGGCCAUGCCCGAAGUCGUUACUCCAACCCUUGUGGAGGAGGACGCCGAAGGUGGGGCUAAUGACUGGGGUGAAGUCGUAACAAGGUAGCCGUA